This 460-nucleotide ribosomal RNA is filed under the name uncultured bacterium. Its description in RNAcentral is "partial 16S ribosomal RNA". It matches the Rfam family "Bacterial small subunit ribosomal RNA", at positions 338 to 795 of the family's 1533-position model. The record is from RNAcentral.
CCUACGGGAGGCAGCAGUGAGGAAUAUUGGUCAAUGGACGCAAGUCUGAACCAGCCAUGCCGCGUGCAGGAAGACGGCUCUAUGAGUUGUAAACUGCUUUUGUACGAGGGUAAACGCAGAUACGCGUAUCUGUCUGAAAGUAUCGUACGCAUAAGGAUCGGCUAACUUCGUGCCAGCAGCCGCGGUAAUGAGGAGGAUUCAAGCGUUAUCCGGAUUUAUUGGGUGUAAAGGGAGCGUAGGGGGGCGGAUAAGGUAGAGGUGAAAUCCCGAGGCUCAAAUUCGGAUUUGCCUUUGAUACUGUUCGGCUAGAGAGUAGUUGCGGUAGGCGGAAUGUAUGGUGUAGCGGUGAAAUGCUUAGAGAUCAUGCAGAACACCGAUUGCGAAGGCAGCUUACCAAGCUACUUCUGACGUUGAGGCACGAAAGCGUGGGGAGCAAACAGGAUUAGAUACCCGAGUAGUC